UGAAUUUCACGUAAGUGUGACCAACACUGAAGUUUCAAUUUUCUCCUGUAAAAGGAAAUACUGCUGUAGUUCAGAGGGGAGAAGUUAUUUGUAAAAGGCGUAACAUUAAAGUAAUGAAAUUCUAAAACCAUUUCGCCCGCAGUUUGACGAGGUCUGCAAACCCGAGCUGGGGCCUGUGCUUGCCAGAAGAGCCAGGAUGUUUUGGGCCCUCACGCUCUGGGCUGAACUGCGUGGGUGCUUAGGAAGGUCCACUGGAGGAAUACUAACUGCUCAUCAGAUGUCUAAAGGGAGAACUUUUGCAGCAAACUAUCAGACUCUCCAGAUGCUGACCCUGUCAAUUGUGACCAUAUCACAAAAGCAACUGCCACUGAAGGCCCUGCCCAAGUGAUCUCUGACCACAACAGACCCUCCACUGCAUGAACAUAAGAAGCAAGAAAGAGAGCAAGCAAACAAGCACAUAAGCAGGG
This is a long non-coding RNA of Lynx canadensis (Canada lynx), 467 nucleotides long. RefSeq lists it as uncharacterized. NCBI's taxonomy places the organism in Eukaryota, Metazoa, Chordata, Mammalia, Carnivora, Felidae. The transcript has 3 exons. The record is from RefSeq and is a predicted model, not a curated record.